This 115-nucleotide microRNA precursor is filed under the name Podarcis lilfordi (Lilford's wall lizard). The record is from RNAcentral. Lineage: Eukaryota; Metazoa; Chordata; Lepidosauria; Squamata; Lacertidae.
AACUAAGUUUGUUCUUGGUAUAAGCUUUUGUGUGCAUGCACACUUCUUCAGCUAACUGGUAUCUGAAGAAGUGUGCAUGCACACGAAAGUUUAUACCAAAAACAAGCAGUUGGUC